This 495-nucleotide ribosomal RNA is filed under the name uncultured bacterium. Its description in RNAcentral is "partial 16S ribosomal RNA". It matches the Rfam family "Bacterial small subunit ribosomal RNA", at positions 28 to 507 of the family's 1533-position model. The record is from RNAcentral.
GACGAACGCUGGCGGCGUGCCUAAUACAUGCAAGUAGAACGCUGAAGGAGGAGCUUGCUCUUCUGGAUGAGUUGCGAACGGGUGAGUAACGCGUAGGUAACCUGCCUGGUAGCGGGGGAUAACUAUUGGAAACGAUAGCUAAUACCGCAUAACAGUAGAUGUUGCAUGACAUUUGCUUAAAAGGUGCAAUUGCACCACUACCAGAUGGACCUGCGUUGUAUUAGCUAGUUGGUGGGGUAACGGCUCACCAAGGCGCCGAUACAUAGCCGACCUGAGAGGGUGAUCGGCCACACUGGGACUGAGACACGGCCCAGACUCCUACGGGAGGCAGCAGUAGGGAAUCUUCGGCAAUGGACGGAAGUCUGACCGAGCAACGCCGCGUGAGUGAAGAAGGUUUUCGGAUCGUAAAGCUCUGUUGUAAGAGAAGAACGAGUGUGAGAGUGGAAAGUUCACACUGUGACGGUAUCUUACCAGAAAGGGACGGCUAACUACGUG